This 1037-nucleotide ribosomal RNA is filed under the name Burkholderia cenocepacia. RNAcentral describes it as "partial 23S ribosomal RNA". It matches the Rfam family "Bacterial large subunit ribosomal RNA", at positions 588 to 1635 of the family's 2925-position model. Lineage: Bacteria; Pseudomonadati; Pseudomonadota; Betaproteobacteria; Burkholderiales; Burkholderiaceae. The record is from RNAcentral.
AAGGGGUGACGGCGUACCUUUUGUAUAAUGGGUCAGCGACUUACGUUCAGUAGCAAGCUUAACCGUAUAGGGCAGGCGUAGCGAAAGCGAGUCCGAAUAGGGCGUUCAGUUGCUGGGCGUAGACCCGAAACCAGGUGAUCUAUCCAUGGCCAGGAUGAAGGUGCGGUAACACGUACUGGAGGUCCGAACCCACUAACGUUGAAAAGUUAGGGGAUGAGCUGUGGAUAGGGGUGAAAGGCUAAACAAACCUGGAAAUAGCUGGUUCUCUCCGAAAACUAUUUAGGUAGUGCCUCGUGUCUCACCUUCGGGGGUAGAGCACUGUCAUGGUUGGGGGGUCUAUUGCAGAUUACCCCGCCAUAGCAAACUCCGAAUACCGAAGAGUGCAAUCACGGGAGACAGACAUCGGGUGCUAACGUCCGGUGUCAAGAGGGAAACAACCCAGACCGCCAGCUAAGGUCCCCAAAUAUAGCUAAGUGGGAAACGAAGUGGGAAGGCUAAAACAGUCAGGAGGUUGGCUUAGAAGCAGCCACCCUUUAAAGAAAGCGUAAUAGCUCACUGAUCGAGUCGUCCUGCGCGGAAGAUGUAACGGGGCUAAGCUAUAUACCGAAGCUGCGGAUGCGAGCUUUGCUCGCAUGGUAGGAGAGCGUUCCGUAAGCCUGCGAAGGUGCCUUGUAAAGGGUGCUGGAGGUAUCGGAAGUGCGAAUGCUGACAUGAGUAGCGAUAAAGGGGGUGAAAGGCCCCCUCGCCGUAAGCCCAAGGUUUCCUACGCAACGUUCAUCGGCGUAGGGUGAGUCGGCCCCUAAGGCGAGGCAGAAAUGCGUAGCUGAUGGGAAGCAGGUCAAUAUUCCUGCACCAUUGUUAGAUGCGAUGGGGGGACGGAUCGCGGAAGGUUGUCCGGGUGUUGGAAGUCCCGGUCGCUGCAUUGGAGAAGGCGCUUAGGCAAAUCCGGGCGCGUAAUUCAAGGGUGUGGCGCGAGCUCCUUAGGGAGCGAAGCAAUUGGAAGUGGUUCCAAGAAAAGCCUCUAAGCUUCAGUCUAA